ACGGUCUAUUUGGAAGACAAUCUGGUACAACUGCUGGUUACUCUUACUCUGCUGCUAACAAGAACAAAGCUGUGGAAUGGGAAGAGAAGGCCUUGUACGAUUACUUG
Molecule: small RNA, 107 nt
Filed under: Arabidopsis thaliana (thale cress)
Lineage: Eukaryota; Viridiplantae; Streptophyta; Magnoliopsida; Brassicales; Brassicaceae
Description: ATSL016160
Source: RNAcentral